Molecule: long non-coding RNA, 1756 nt
Organism: Pan troglodytes (chimpanzee)
Lineage: Eukaryota; Metazoa; Chordata; Mammalia; Primates; Hominidae
Exons: 2
Source: RefSeq, a predicted model, not a curated record
GACAGCCACACAUAUGCCAAGUGUCAGAGAGUAAAUGGCAACAGCAGGACCUGACCCAGAUUUACUGUCCAGUGCAGUUUUGCUGAGAGCGGUGAGAGGUGGAGGAGGCAUCUAAAGGGCUUGCUUUACAAUGUUGCCUGGAGCCAGUCCACAUCCGAGCCAUGGGAGGUCACAAGAAAUGUAAGGAGAAGUUGGUAGAUUUACCUACAGUUGCAUAGCUGAUAUGUGGCAAAACAUCAAAGUCCAGAGCUCUAAACGGUAUGUCUUGUGGUGCUCAUAAUUAUAUGCUCUGAAAUAAAAAAGAAGACUAUAUUACAUGCUAAUCACUGAUAAAUCUUUCUGCGAUGCCGGUUCAAUUGCCUUCAUUGAUUAUUGCAGAAUUUCCUAUUUGAUUCACUUUGGUGAACUCUCAUGACAUUUUAGAUGUUGUGUUAGGUGUUGGGGAUUCCAAGCUAAUUAAGAAAUUGACACUACUCCAGAGAAGACCUCCUAAUUGGUCUCUUUACCUUGAUCUCUACUCAUUCUGACUCUCAUCAUUGUCUGAAUUUUCUCCUUAACAUAAGAGCUUGAAUUUUUAUUUCCUUAUUUAAAAAUGCUAAAUGAUUCUCUCAUAAUAAAGUAAAAACUCCUGAGCAGGGCCAGAGUUGGAAUGAGGAUCAGAAAGGGAAUUUAGUUCAAUAGGGAUAAUGAUGUUCAUUUUAGACAUGUGGACUUGUGAUUCUGGGGAAUCAGAGAGGAGGGGUUUCAAAGUUCACAGCUGGCAUUGUGGCUAAAGUUAGUUCUGAAGGUACAGAUUUGGAGACCAUCAAUGCUGAGUCCAAGGGGAAAGAAGAGCCCUUGAAACGGGAUACAAGUAGAGAUAUGCUGAGGAUGUUGGAGAAUAAUCUAGAAAUUCUCAGGGCUCCAGGGUCUUGGCAUGGCCACCUCAAAUCCUUUCUGCAUGAGGCCACUUGGUUCCUUUGCUUUUGAAGAAAAUGGCAAAAUUAAUACAAAUGCUCCCCUGACUUACAAUGGGGUUAUGUCCCAGUAAAUCCAUCAGAAAUUGAAAAUAUUGUAAGUUGAGAAUGCACUUAAUAUGCUUAGCCUACAGAACAUAAUUGCUUGGCCUAGUGUACCUUAAACAUGCUCAGAACACUUACAUUACCCUACUGCUGGGCAAAAUUACCAGCACAAAGCCUGUUUUAUCAUAAAGUGUUAAACAUCUCGUGUAAUUCAUUGAAUACUGCACUGAAAGUGAACACCAGAAUGGUUGUAUGAGUACUCGAAGUACAGCUUCUACUGAAUGCAUAUUGCUUUUGCACCAUUGUAAAUUGUGAACAAUUGUGAGUCGAACCAUAUAGUAAGUUCAGGACCAUCUGUACUGCAUCAAGGUCCCCAGGACCUGAACACAAGUGGUAUAAAUUAUUCCCACUCCUGGAUAAAAAUUUGUUCCAGGAAAGCAGGUAAAUUAGCAUGAUAUAAAUCUUCAAAUUACUUUUGCCCAGUUUGGAGAAGAUGAUCCAGCAUGGUGUGACAAACAGUGUUUUCUCAACACCAUAAGUAAUUCUGCAAAGGACAUGCUGUACACUUUGCCCAGAUUUGUGAUUAUUUCCUCAAGGAAUGGAAUUACUGGGUUAAAGGGAGUUAACAUCUUUAAGGUUCUAGUUAACCACUGAGAAACUGGCCUCAAGAAAGAUUGGAUAAUGUAUAUACCUGUCAAUUGCAGCCCAUCAUUGCUACUGCUAAAUAUAUUCCUUUAAAUUUUUUUUCUAUUUAA